RNAcentral lists this ribosomal RNA (250 nucleotides) under uncultured bacterium. RNAcentral's name for it is "partial 16S ribosomal RNA". It matches the Rfam family "Bacterial small subunit ribosomal RNA", at positions 28 to 278 of the family's 1533-position model. The record is from RNAcentral.
GACGAACGCUGGCGGCGUGCUUAACACAUGCAAGUCGAACGGUGAAGUAGAGCUUGCUCUAUGGAUCAGUGGCGAACGGGUGAGUAACACGUGGGCAACCUGCCCCAGACUCUGGGAUAACUCCUCGAAAGAGGGGCUAAUACUGGAUAUUUGCAUUACAAGACAUCUUGUGAUGCAGAAAGAAUUUCGGUCUGGGAUGGGCCCGCGGCCUAUCAGCUUGUUGGUGAGGUAACGGCUCACCAAGGCGACG